Molecule: transfer RNA, 64 nt
Filed under: Calanus glacialis
Lineage: Eukaryota; Metazoa; Arthropoda; Copepoda; Calanoida; Calanidae
Description: tRNA-Ile
Source: RNAcentral
AGUAGGGUGCCUGAUUAAAAAGGACUAUCUUGAUAGGGUAGAUUAUGAAAUUUUUCUCCUGCUU